RNAcentral lists this ribosomal RNA (249 nucleotides) under uncultured prokaryote. RNAcentral's name for it is "partial 16S ribosomal RNA". It matches the Rfam family "Bacterial small subunit ribosomal RNA", at positions 524 to 772 of the family's 1533-position model. The record is from RNAcentral.
UACGGAUGAUGCAAGCGUUAUCCGGAUUUAUUGGGUUUAAAGGGUGCGCAGGUUGUUUGAUAAGUCAGUGGUGAAAGUCUGUCGCUUAACGGUAGGAUUGCCAUUGAUACUGUUAGACUUGAAUAUGGAUGAGGUAGGCGGAAUGUGUAGUGUAGCGGUGAAAUGCAUAGAUAUUACACAGAACACCGAUUGCGAAGGCAGCUUACUAAUCCAUCAUUGACGCUGAGGCACGAAAGCGUGGGGAUCAAA